RNAcentral lists this ribosomal RNA (270 nucleotides) under uncultured Streptococcus sp. RNAcentral's name for it is "partial 16S ribosomal RNA". It matches the Rfam family "Bacterial small subunit ribosomal RNA", at positions 1111 to 1382 of the family's 1533-position model. Lineage: Bacteria; Bacillati; Bacillota; Bacilli; Lactobacillales; Streptococcaceae. The record is from RNAcentral.
UUAGUUGCCAUCAUUCAGUUGGGCACUCUAGCGAGACUGCCGGUAAUAAACCGGAGGAAGGUGGGGAUGACGUCAAAUCAUCAUGCCCCUUAUGACCUGGGCUACACACGUGCUACAAUGGUUGGUACAACGAGUUGCGAGUCGGUGACGGCGAGCUAAUCUCUUAAAGCCAAUCUCAGUUCGGAUUGUAGGCUGCAACUCGCCUACAUGAAGUCGGAAUCGCUAGUAAUCGCGGAUCAGCACGCUGCGGUGAAUACGUUCCCGGGCCUU